UUUUUUCUUAUAACGCAGAAAAAAAGAAAAAACUAUGUGAAAAAGAAAACUAUGUGCUAUAACGUCAAGUUCUAACGUUGCAUAAAAUACGUGGAUUAAAUAAAACAUUUAAUAUUUUAGUUUUCAGUUUAAUAUAACUACAGACUCAAACACCUACUUUUAUCAUUACGAUUGUGCAGAAAAUUGAGGGGAAAAAACGAAAUCAUAAUUCCAAUGAAAUCCUUUCACAGUACUGCAGGCUGCAUCGAGAAAUUAUUCUCUUAAAAUGCUCUAUGAGUUACAGUACUGAAGAGUUGACAUUACUGUAGUUUAAUUUGCUGUAUUACUGCAAUAUUCCGAUAGGGAUAUGUGUCUCUGCUGCUAAACACUGAGUUUAAUGGUUUAUUGUAUUUUUAUCUCGGUAAUAUUCCUGCUGCUGUAUAUGAAUUCUUAUAAACUCUCCCGCAGUUUAGUCCCAUAAUACGUUUUCUCAGGUUUUAAUUAGGCCGCACUCCAUGAAGUUCCCCCACUGCUUCACUGCAUUAAGCUUUUUAGUGAAUCUGAAGGGUUAACUCCUGCAGCCUGUGGUGAAGAAGGCUGAUAAAGUCGCUGGAGGCACAAUAUAAUUUAUUAUCUGUCAGAAAUAAUCGAUUUUGACAACAGUUCUCACAGUUUCUCAAAAGGUCAGACUGAUGCAGAACACGUCGCCGUUUUAACUGGCAAACAGGUUGCUUAAAUCUGAUUUUAAAAAAAAACUCUUGUUAGAAGGUACAAAUGCGAGGCAAAUAAGAAAAAACAAGAGUAAGGUAAACAUGAAACAUGAAAAAACAAGCACAUUAAAGUUUCAAUCUAAAUACAAAAUAAAUGUAAAAAUUGACAACAUAUUUAAGUCAACUAAUAGCCAGUAACAAAUAAAAAAAAAGUAAGUGGGCAUAAAUAACAUUUUAACACUGUAAAAACCUAAACACGUAACACCCAUGCAGCAAUAUUUCUCACUUUAUGCUGUAAAUGCCGCAUUUUGCAGGAUUUUAGACGUUAGUCAGAUAUAACAACAUAUCUGACUGGGCUGUGGCAAUUUAGGCUUUCUGCAAAAACAAAAAAAACGGGAAAAAAAAGAUUUGAAGAUUGUGCACGUGCAUGCACUAUGCAUGUAAUUUUGCACGCACCAACAUGUGUGCUCUUGUACCAUGUAACAUAUUUCCUUGACCGUGCAGGCUGGCCACAUUUUCCUCAUCCACAUUCUCUAAAACCGCCACUAGAUGUCACCAUUUAGUCGUCUGGUCGAACCCCCCCUAACCUUCACCCUCCUCUUCCUCAUCAUCAGUCUCCAAAAGCUGUUCAUGUACAUCGAGCAGACACAGUCUAAUUAAGCCUGUGUACUCUCCACUAACUGCUUUACCGACUGUCUUUUAGUGGUGUCAGUGUGAGAUACUGAUUAUUCCUCCCUGAUCAUUUAAAUCUACACCUUAUUGUUUAAGAUCCGACUGUAAAAAGAAAUAUACUAUGUCAUGUUGUAAAAACAGCAGUGAGCUAAUAAUAAUAAUAAUAAUAACAACAAAAAUAAUAGCCUAAUAAUAAUAAUAAUAAUAAUAAUAAUAAUCAUACAAAUAUUAAUAAAUGUGAGCUUUCACAUUUCACAAAGAACAAGCUAUAAACUUAUGUCUGUCUCCUAUUAAUAAAGGGGGGCGGGGGGGGGGGGGGGGUUAUCAGUCCAUGGUGAAUGACACACCACACCUUUACAACUACAGGCUGCAUGCAUGCUAUUAAAAAAUAGCAUGGCUGCUUCUUUAACUUGGAGGUGUUUCAUUACACCAAUUUGAAAACAGUAUCUCCUGUGCCAGAUAAGGCUCGCUUUGUUCUUGUUACAAAGUGCAUCAUAAGCUGAUAUCUGGUCACAAAUUUGUGGGGAAAAAAUAUGUAUUUUAAUAUAGGAUUUUUGCCUCACUGGUGAUUUCUGGAAAGAAAAUGACGGUCCAUGCUGGUUUUGCUUGCUUCGUUUUAAAUGGAAUAUUCAGCCGAAUUAUUGGUUCAUUUUAUAACUAUUUAGAGCAUUUUAUAUAAAUAUAAAUAAAUGUAUACAAAAUGCUCUAAUUUGUCCUUGAUUCUAAACAUUGGAAUCUACAAGUUUUUAUUUGGCUCGAACACGCGGCCUGGUGGCUGUAUCAUCAUCACGCUUUAUCCUUAAUACAACCAAAUCGUUUCAUCAAGAGGAACAGAUAAUGCAGAAUGUUUAUCAAUUGUUUCUCCUAUGCAUGAUUUAAAUCAGGCUCACCGCACAGCUCUCCUCUCUAUAACUCCCAUCAAGACUCUGGACCUGCACAGUGGUCAGUAGAAAUAAAGUGUGUUUAAAAAAUAAAAGUGAGGUGAUUUAUCCUGCUAAUCUUGAAGGUCCACCUCUCCCAGUAAGAAGCGAUGAUAACGAAUUGAUUCAUUUUCUUAAUGCGAAGAUGACACCCACCAAUCGAAAGAAUCAGACAUUACACUAGUUUUGUUUAAUCUUCUAUGAAAACUUCCUCAACUUUCCCCACCCCAAAUUCCCAUUAAACUUUUAUCUGUCAUUAAAAACAGAUAUAAAUAGGUCAAGAAUUAUAGUUUGAUUUUAUCCUGCGUAAAAUCCUGCACAUGAGCUUUUAUUUUUUGAAGGUAAACGAAGGUGUGUUUCUUUUCUAAGGAGGUGGUGAAAACGCAACAGAGGAUGAUGAGUGGAGUAUUUAGGCUCCCUGAGAGCAACCUAUGAGUAACGUGUUCUAAUAAUUCACAACAAGUUAUGGGUAAAUAUGAGGGGUUUUUUUAGAGUGAGAAGCCAAGCAUAGAGGUGGGGUACUGGACUCCCGUGGCUUUGAAUAUCUUUACGCGAGCCAGCCCUGACCACUGGUGUUGAGCCACGAUCAGUUUAAGAGCAAGGUUCAAUGACGAAGGGAGUAGCCUGUGGGGACUGCAUCUAUCUGCUUUGACUGAUUCCAGAAAGUUUGCCCUUCUCAGCAACUACUUGAUAGAAACCUCGCACCUUGUUACAGCAACAGCACCGCUGGAUGUUGUUAAUUUCAGUGAUGGAGAAAGGGAGCUGUGGAGAACUACAGGCGGCAGGAAGUAGAGGUCAAGAUGGGAUCUCUGGGAUUUUGCUCUCCACUGGACCCACAUGAGGUUGGAUGGAGACCUCGUAGAUCAUGACCCAGAAACAAAUGGCAUAAUGACGGGAGUCUCCAGGCUAAAGAUGUCAAGGAUAUUCAGCUGAUCUCAGAGGUGAAUGGGGGCUUCCUGAUCAACCAGAAAGAAGCCAUUUCAUCAAAACGGGAGCUUCAAGAUAAAUCUCAGCAGCUCUAUGAGCCUCAUGACACUUGGACCUGCACUCUACUGUUUAUUUAUGCAUUUCUGCCAUCUGGUUAUACAAGAUUGUGGGCCAAACGGACAAAUACUGUGACCAUGCACUAAUAUACCAAUUUAUUUUUAUGUAUUUUUUAUUUUUAUAUGGAGAGCAUACUUAUGAUGAAAAUAUUAUUCACGUUGAAACUUGUAUUUAUUUCAUGUAAUUGAUUGAUCCUAACAAGUAUAUUUUUUGACAGCUAAAUAAAGGCUUUUUUUCUC
This is a long non-coding RNA of Centropristis striata (black sea bass), 3564 nucleotides long. RefSeq lists it as uncharacterized. Lineage: Eukaryota; Metazoa; Chordata; Actinopteri; Perciformes; Serranidae. The record is from RefSeq and is a predicted model, not a curated record. The transcript has 4 exons.